This 544-nucleotide ribosomal RNA is filed under the name uncultured fungus. RNAcentral describes it as "eukaryotic LSU rRNA". The stretch from base 186 to 339 matches the Rfam family "5.8S ribosomal RNA". The record is from RNAcentral. Lineage: Eukaryota; Fungi.
CGUAACAAGGUUUCCGUAGGUGAACCUGCGGAAGGAUCAUUACCUAGAGUUUGUAGACUUCGGUCUGCUACCUCUUACCCAUGUCUUUUGAGUACCUUCGUUUCCUCGGCGGGUCCGCCCGCCGAUUGGACAACAUUCAAACCCUUUGCAGUUGCAAUCAGCGUCUGAAAAAACAUAAUAGUUACAACUUUCAACAACGGAUCUCUUGGUUCUGGCAUCGAUGAAGAACGCAGCGAAAUGCGAUAAGUAGUGUGAAUUGCAGAAUUCAGUGAAUCAUCGAAUCUUUGAACGCACAUUGCGCCCCUUGGUAUUCCAUGGGGCAUGCCUGUUCGAGCGUCAUUUGUACCUUCAAGCUCUGCUUGGUGUUGGGUGUUUGUCUCGCCUCUGCGUGUAGACUCGCCUUAAAACAAUUGGCAGCCGGCGUAUUGAUUUCGGAGCGCAGUACAUCUCGCGCUUUGCACUCAUAACGACGACGUCCAAAAGUACAUUUUUACACCCUUGACCUCGGAUCAGGUAGGGAUACCCGCUGAACUUAAGCAUAUCA